UGGAGAAGGGGAGCACGUGCAAUGGCGGAUUUGUGUAAUACGUUUGCACGUGCCCUGCUUCUCCAAC
Molecule: non-coding RNA, 67 nt
Organism: Spinacia oleracea (spinach)
Lineage: Eukaryota; Viridiplantae; Streptophyta; Magnoliopsida; Caryophyllales; Amaranthaceae
Source: Rfam